Molecule: ribosomal RNA, 1540 nt
Filed under: Salmonella enterica subsp. enterica serovar Kottbus
Lineage: Bacteria; Pseudomonadati; Pseudomonadota; Gammaproteobacteria; Enterobacterales; Enterobacteriaceae
Description: bacterial SSU rRNA
Rfam family: Bacterial small subunit ribosomal RNA
Source: RNAcentral
AAAUUGAAGAGUUUGAUCAUGGCUCAGAUUGAACGCUGGCGGCAGGCCUAACACAUGCAAGUCGAACGGUAGCACAGAGAGCUUGCUCUCGGGUGACGAGUGGCGGACGGGUGAGUAAUGUCUGGGAAACUGCCUGAUGGAGGGGGAUAACUACUGGAAACGGUGGCUAAUACCGCAUAACGUCGCAAGACCAAAGAGGGGGACCUUCGGGCCUCUUGCCAUCAGAUGUGCCCAGAUGGGAUUAGCUAGUUGGUGAGGUAACGGCUCACCAAGGCGACGAUCCCUAGCUGGUCUGAGAGGAUGACCAGCCACACUGGAACUGAGACACGGUCCAGACUCCUACGGGAGGCAGCAGUGGGGAAUAUUGCACAAUGGGCGCAAGCCUGAUGCAGCCAUGCCGCGUGUAUGAAGAAGGCCUUCGGGUUGUAAAGUACUUUCAGCGGGGAGGAAGGUGUUGUGGUUAAUAACCACAGCAAUUGACGUUACCCGCAGAAGAAGCACCGGCUAACUCCGUGCCAGCAGCCGCGGUAAUACGGAGGGUGCAAGCGUUAAUCGGAAUUACUGGGCGUAAAGCGCACGCAGGCGGUCUGUCAAGUCGGAUGUGAAAUCCCCGGGCUCAACCUGGGAACUGCAUUCGAAACUGGCAGGCUUGAGUCUUGUAGAGGGGGGUAGAAUUCCAGGUGUAGCGGUGAAAUGCGUAGAGAUCUGGAGGAAUACCGGUGGCGAAGGCGGCCCCCUGGACAAAGACUGACGCUCAGGUGCGAAAGCGUGGGGAGCAAACAGGAUUAGAUACCCUGGUAGUCCACGCCGUAAACGAUGUCUACUUGGAGGUUGUGCCCUUGAGGCGUGGCUUCCGGAGCUAACGCGUUAAGUAGACCGCCUGGGGAGUACGGCCGCAAGGUUAAAACUCAAAUGAAUUGACGGGGGCCCGCACAAGCGGUGGAGCAUGUGGUUUAAUUCGAUGCAACGCGAAGAACCUUACCUGGUCUUGACAUCCACGGAAGUUUUCAGAGAUGAGAAUGUGCCUUCGGGAACCGUGAGACAGGUGCUGCAUGGCUGUCGUCAGCUCGUGUUGUGAAAUGUUGGGUUAAGUCCCGCAACGAGCGCAACCCUUAUCCUUUGUUGCCAGCGAUUAGGUCGGGAACUCAAAGGAGACUGCCAGUGAUAAACUGGAGGAAGGUGGGGAUGACGUCAAGUCAUCAUGGCCCUUACGACCAGGGCUACACACGUGCUACAAUGGCGCAUACAAAGAGAAGCGACCUCGCGAGAGCAAGCGGACCUCAUAAAGUGCGUCGUAGUCCGGAUUGGAGUCUGCAACUCGACUCCAUGAAGUCGGAAUCGCUAGUAAUCGUGGAUCAGAAUGCCACGGUGAAUACGUUCCCGGGCCUUGUACACACCGCCCGUCACACCAUGGGAGUGGGUUGCAAAAGAAGUAGGUAGCUUAACCUUCGGGAGGGCGCUUACCACUUUGUGAUUCAUGACUGGGGUGAAGUCGUAACAAGGUAACCGUAGGGGAACCUGCGGUUGGAUCACCUCCUUA